Oxyura jamaicensis (ruddy duck) is the source of this 895-nucleotide long non-coding RNA. RefSeq lists it as uncharacterized. The record is from RefSeq and is a predicted model, not a curated record. The transcript is spliced from 3 exons. NCBI's taxonomy places the organism in Eukaryota, Metazoa, Chordata, Aves, Anseriformes, Anatidae.
UCACUGCGGGCACGCUGGGGUUUGUUCUCAGCCCGCUGUGCUAACGUAACCCACGCUACCGCUCAUCAGAACAGCUGCCCCUCAAAUCAGGAGGCAUACCUGUGGAUGUGGACACCCUACACAUCUCAACACGCAACGUUCUGCACACCAAGGCACACCACCACCUGACGUGGGGGAAAGGGAGCAGAGGCCCGUUAAUGUUACACGAGAGCAGCUGGAGCUGCUCUGCUCAGCAACCACGCGCAGGUGAUGGGAGUCGGCCAGAGCCUGGCUCCCCUCCCCUCCAGAGGGGAUAAAAAGCCUUCCAACUCCAGGGGAUGUUUCACAACAUGGCAGCAGGGGUGGAGGAACUUUUAAGGCAAGGAAUGUUUCUGCAGAGCUGCAGGCUACUGCUAGUUGGUUUGCAAGGAGGCAAAGAUGGAGGCUGCCCUUUUGGUGAGACUGGAAGGGGACCAGCGCUUCGCCAGGCAGGACUCAUGCAGCGUGAACCCGAAGCAGAUGAGGCACGAACAGAUGGUCAGGCUGAAUUUCAGCAGGAAGCAGAGCAGGAAGUAGUGCUGAGUCUGUGGAGAAGGGAGAGGCAGGAGAGUGACACGGGCAUGUCACCGGCCCAACCUCCCCGGUGUGAACCAUCAGAGGCUGCAGUACAGAUCUGGGAUGUUGCGCUGUGGACCUGUCCUGCAAGCGUACUGGUACUAAGGGAUUCCCUUCGUCACUAUGACUUUGUGAUUUGGUUAGGAUGGCUCGUGCCACGGAUCAGAGUUUACCAAGGGAGUUGGGAAGCCAUGUUAGCACGGCCUCAGCUACGCAUCAACGUGGGGACAAAGUAGAAAAGAAGAAAGGAUGAACAAAUCUUAUCAGAUGGGCUACCUACCUUCUUAGGAAUGGAAGUCAA